UACAGAGGUCUCAACCGUUGUUCGGAUUCAUUGGGCGUAAAGGGUGCGUAGGCGGUCGGGUAAGUCGGAUGUGAAAUCUCAGGGCUCAACCCUGAAACUGCAUUCGAUACUGCCUGGCUAGGGUACUGGAGAGGAGACUGGAAUUUACGGUGUAGCAGUGAAAUGCGUAGAUAUCGUAAGGAAGACCAGUGGCGAAGGCGAGUCUCUGGACAGUUACCGACGCUGAGGAGCGAAAGCCAGGGGAGCAAACGGG
RNAcentral lists this ribosomal RNA (253 nucleotides) under uncultured bacterium. RNAcentral's name for it is "partial 16S ribosomal RNA". It matches the Rfam family "Bacterial small subunit ribosomal RNA", at positions 524 to 776 of the family's 1533-position model. The record is from RNAcentral.